This 429-nucleotide ribosomal RNA is filed under the name Gemmatimonadota bacterium. RNAcentral describes it as "Gemmatimonadetes bacterium partial 16S ribosomal RNA". It matches the Rfam family "Bacterial small subunit ribosomal RNA", at positions 355 to 776 of the family's 1533-position model. Lineage: Bacteria; Pseudomonadati; Gemmatimonadota. The record is from RNAcentral.
UAGGGAAUCUUCGGCAAUGGACGAAAGUCUGACCGAGCAACGCCGCGUGAGUGAAGAAGGUUUUCGGAUCGUAAAACUCUGUUGUUAGAGAAGAACAAUGACGUUAGUAACUGAACGUCCCCUGACGGUAUCUAACCAGAAAGCCACGGCUAACUACGUGCCAGCAGCCGCGGUAAUACGUAGGUGGCAAGCGUUGUCCGGAUUUAUUGGGCGUAAAGCGAGCGCAGGCGGUUUCUUAAGUCUGAUGUGAAAGCCCCCGGCUCAACCGGGGAGGGUCAUUGGAAACUGGGAGACUUGAGUGGAGAAGAGGAGAGUGGAAUUCCAUGUGUAGCGGUGAAGUGCGUAGAUAUAAGGAGGAACAACAGUGGCGAAGGCGGCUCUCUGGUCUGUAACUGACGCUGAGGCUCGAAAGAGUGGGGAGCAAACAGG